GCCGGGCACGGUGGCGCACACCUGUCAUCCCAGCAGCUUGGGAGGCUGAGGCAGGAGGAUCAUGAGUUCAAAGCCAGCCUCAGCAACGGUGAGGCACUAAGCAACUCAGUGAGACCCUGUCUCUA
This 125-nucleotide small RNA is filed under the name Marmota monax (woodchuck). Lineage: Eukaryota; Metazoa; Chordata; Mammalia; Rodentia; Sciuridae. The record is from RNAcentral.